This 1476-nucleotide long non-coding RNA is filed under the name Gossypium raimondii (Peruvian cotton). Its description in RNAcentral is "long non-coding RNA (GRAI_LNC001844)". Lineage: Eukaryota; Viridiplantae; Streptophyta; Magnoliopsida; Malvales; Malvaceae. The record is from RNAcentral.
AAAAAACUAAAACGAAACCGUAAUUGAAAACAGAAAAAACAGAGAGAUUACACAAAAACCAAAACAGGAAGAAUCUCGAAGCAAUAAGGUACCGACCCUUACACCCAAUCAAAUGCAUUGUUUUAUUCCCCGUCUCAAAAGGUCUUCAAUGUUCAUAAUUGACGGUUUCACAAAAAACGAAGGAGCAUCCAACAGAUAGACCAAACGUCUGAAAAAAACUCCUUACCCCCAUUCAAUUUCCUUCCCCUCCUCUUUCAAUCCGUUUCUCUUGGCCUCCCCUCACCCUUCUGGUAUCAACAGUAAAAAAAAACGUUCCCUUCUAGGUAAAUUAAUUUCCCCACUUUUAGCUUUUCUGUCGCAAGAACAUGAACAAAUUCAUUUGCUAAUCUUGGAACAUGAUUGAAGCUGAUUUCUUGAAAAUUAUUCUUCAUUUGUUGAAUAUUUCUAAUGUAAACACCAAUAAAUGAUUUAUCAAAUUCCAAAGACUUACAUUUCUUAACUGUUGUUAAUGAAUCCCUUUCAAUAAUGACUCGGCUCCAUUCCUUUAUCAACACCCACACUCACCACCAGGUGACAUGCUAAAGCUUCAGCAACGAAGGCAAUUGCUACUCUCUCAUGGAAACUCAAACAAGUGAAGAGUAUUAUUCCACCCUCAUCCCUAGCAACCACUCCUGACGCCGAUCAAAAACUCCGGCCAUCAAAAGCACCAUCAAAGUUUAUUUUGAUGACUGAACUCGUCGGAGUUAUCCAAGUAACAAUUUCCUUACUCUUUGUACAUAUAUAUUUCUCCAACCUUUCAAGUUCUCCUAUAUAGCUAGAAAUAAAAUUUGCAAUGUUUUUACCUGUAAUGACUUUCUUUUCAUGAAUCCUUCUGUUUCUGUCCUUCCAAAUAGCCCAAAGUGCACAGUAAAGUAACUUCCUCAGAUGGGUGGUACAAGAUUCAAAUAUCCAAGUAAGCCAUUGUUUAAACUCUAGACCCUAGUUAUUCAAAACUUGCAAAUAGUUUAACUUUGACUAAACAUCAACUGUUAUAGGACAUUGUUGGAAUAGAUGAUCUAUUGAUUCGUCCUCACCUCUACACCGAUGGCAGCAAGUAUUUGCGAUUAACUUCUUAGAAUUUAAGUUAGCAAACGUAGGUAGAUAGUUCCAAGAAAUCCUCCAGAAUGUAAUUUUAAUUUUUCCCGGGAGGUCUAGUUUCCAUAAGAGCUUAUAGAAAUCACUAGAUCAUGUCUGUAAUGCAGAAGUACUAGGAUCCUCCAAAUUUUAUGUAAUAGUUUGUAGGUGCUAUGAAUCGAGAACCCCCCGAAGGCUCCCCACCCCAGAUCAGAAAAUCCUCAUGGGCGUCCUGAGCAAGCGAAAUCCGAAGAAUAUGAUCAGCAUUCGACUGCAUGAAGGUAUCUAAUCCCUGCUUCUAAUUUCAAUCAUUAGAAUCAUUUAACUCCGACACCAUUAAAUUAUGCAAAAUUUGACUAUUAC